This is a long non-coding RNA of Bos grunniens (domestic yak), 1242 nucleotides long. The record is from Ensembl. NCBI's taxonomy places the organism in Eukaryota, Metazoa, Chordata, Mammalia, Artiodactyla, Bovidae.
GAUUUUGAGGCUCAGUUUGUUACUAGACCUGGUGAUUCUGAGUUAAGAGGUAGGAACACUCUGGAGUGGUCACACCAAGAUGUGGGUAAUGAAGGGUCAGAGUCAAGGUUAGGGGAAGGCUUCUCACAACUACUAAUAACUGGCAGGGGUGGGAUUUGAACCCAGGUCUUACUCUACUAGCUGAGAACCACACUGCUCUUGGGACACUGAAGACUCGACUCUGCAGGGCAAGCCCACAGAGCUCCCUGGGUUUCCCAGAAUGACUCUGGGGCCAUCAUUUGGCCCCUCUGUUGUUGACUCCCAGAUCCUGGAUGCUACCUCAGCUUACUUCCUUGUGCCUGGUUAGGUCUCUCUAGGCUCUUUUGGAGGUCUCUUCUCCUGGGAACAUUUCCAAAUCUGAAACUGAGGACUUGAGCCUUCUCCCUCUCACAGCAUCCUGGAUAUAUAUCAUAGUACAGUACUUCCUGUCUGCUAAUUAUCCACUUCCUGUAUUCCAUGAUGGAGUUGCUCUAGGCAGUGUGGACAACCUAUCCCUGUAUCCCACUGCCCCCUUAAUUUGCCCAUCCUAAACCUUUGACACAUGUCUGUUCAAUAAAUGAAUGGACACGUGUCUGAAUGACCACAUCUAAAAAUGCCUCACAGUUAUUAUGCUGUCUUGCAUUAGAAGAAAAGAUGUGCUACAUGUUUGAGACUUUUUUUUUUAUCAUGGUUACUCUAAAGGAUUGAAAUGUUCUUCAAUUACCUCUGACUAUAAUUUUUUGACAUCUUCAGCCUGAAACAGUAUCUAGCAGCUUUCCACUGUGCCUGUGUGGGAAACUUCCUGAGGGCACAUUUUGGGUGAAUUAUAAACUUCUCUUGCUCUGUGUCUCAAAUAGGUGUCCCACUUUUUUUUUUUACCUUUCACAGUUGUUGAAGACAAUAAAGAUUUUAAACUUCACCUUCUUGACCUGAAUCUGAAAAUAAUGGCUUUCUCCUCCCAGUUCCAAUUCCAGCACUUAGAUGGAGUGACGGAAGAAGGAGCUCUGAGUUAGGGGAUACUCCCAACCCAGGGUCUCCCACAUUACAGGAAGAUUGUCUACCCUUGAGCCACCUGGAAAACCCCUGGAAAGGGAAGGAUAGCCCCCAAACCAGGCACAAGAUUCAACCACUCCCAGCUCAUCCUUCUGAAGACUACCGGAUCCCAGGACCCUGAUGCAAGGUCGAAGCGUUGCAAGAAACUGGUGAGACAGAGGCCCUGUCGCA